Chenopodium quinoa (quinoa) is the source of this 1765-nucleotide long non-coding RNA. RefSeq lists it as uncharacterized. Lineage: Eukaryota; Viridiplantae; Streptophyta; Magnoliopsida; Caryophyllales; Amaranthaceae. The transcript is spliced from 7 exons. The record is from RefSeq and is a predicted model, not a curated record.
UCUUUCCUCGAUCUCUCCUCUCUCAUCUGCCUCUCUCUCCUCAAACAAACCCUAAUCAACAAAGGAAUCGGGAAGUAGACGAAGAUGAAGACCUAGGUUGAACGUCGUUCUUGGCCUAAAUUCGGUGAUGCUGUUCAUGAAGAAAUCGGAGCUCAUCAAACUAUGGUUUCUACUGAAGAAAUCGGCCUUGAACGACCUGCUGCUCCUGGUUUGCUUAGAUUUCGCUUCCUUUUGGUUUGGAUUUUUUUUUUAUUUAUUUUUUUUUUAUCUUCGUUGCGAUCGAUGAAUUGUUGGUUGAUUUUGUUGUUGUUGGUUGAUUAUGUCGAAUCUGGCUGUGUUAUUCAUGUGUUAUUGGAUUGAUUUUUAAUGGAUUUACCCGUGAAUUUGUUCUAUGUUUGAGUGAUUUUUGCCAAUUGAGGUUAAUUGGAAGAAAUUAAGGGUUUCCUGAUUUCUCGAGGCUAUUUCUGGAAUUUUGGGGGAAUUGGAGAUGGAUAGGGGUCGCGGUGGUGGUUUCGUGGGUGCGGUGGUGGGUGUGGUGGUUGCGGUGGUGGUUGCGGUGGUGGUUGCGGUGGUGGUUGCGGUGGUGGUUGCGGUGUUGUUAGGUUGUUUCGGUGUUGCUGGGUGGUAGGGGUGGGUGGUUUUAAGAAUGGGAGGAGGAUUCACAGUGUUGCAUUUGGUGCGACCGUUUCUUUCGUUUCUUCCUGAGGUGCGAACAGCAGAUAGGAAGGUACCCUUCUAAGGUGCAAUGUGGUGUAGUGUUUGUAGCACGAUUUGCACAGCAUAUAUGGUGCUAUGGCUCUUGCUGGGAGGUUCAUAUGCUCACUUUCCGGAAUAGACAGCUCUGGAGGUUUCCAACCAUCAUUUGAUGCCAUUAUUUAAGGACUUGGAUAUGCUACUCCUCCCAUUAUGGCUCUUCUAUUUAUAUUAGAUGACGUAUCACCCCAUGCUUGUGCGAUAAGGGAUGUGGAGGAUGAGGAACUACGAAGCUUCUUCUAUGGAAUGUCACCAUGGCAGUUUAUACUCAUUGUUGCAGCAAGCUCAGUAGGUGAGGAACUCUUCUAUAGAGCUGCUGUCCAGGUGUUAUUUUUGUUUAUAACAUCUCUCAAAAGAGGACAAAAUUAAGCCUACAGAAAUGGGCUGCUAAGGUCACUGCAAAUGGGACUUUCUUAGCACCUCUGGCAUCUGGUGGGCCUUAUGGGCUUCCUGUUCCCUAUAUUGUAAUCAGCAACGAAGCAGAUUUCACAGUAAAGGAGAGUGAAAGAGGCAGUAGUGGUAAUCUUGUUGAUGUGGCUAGGCAAUGGGCUGAGAAGCAAGGUCUACUUUCAUCUAGUGAAGACCUUCCAAUGACUGCAAGUUUUCCCGGAAAUUUAGCCCAUAUUGCUUUGAUCAGGUGGAGGUAUUUUGCUGAUGAAAUACCUGCACCAUCUCCUUGGGGUCUUACAUCGCAAAGAACUAGUCUGCAUUCAACUGAAAUCUCAAGUGAUGACGAUAUUUUGCACCCAUCUGCAAGGAGCAUUGGAUUAUGAGGAUGAGGCUGAAAAAAGAAGCUAGUUGAUAUUCUAAGCUCUUUCUUGCUCUUCACUGUAGAAGUACGCUGCUUAGCAACUCUCUGUAGCUUUUAGGCAUGAUUAAUUUUCAUGUCCUGAAUUGUUUAUGGCUUGUUCAUUAGGGUUCUCCAUGAUGCUUUAUUUUGUUAGUUCCCUCAUGCAUGAGACUAUGAGUUUUGUAAGUUUAGGUUGACGUAAACUAUAUGUUUUUUUUUUAA